Molecule: unclassified non-coding RNA, 354 nt
Filed under: soil metagenome
Description: partial contains 5.8S ribosomal RNA, internal transcribed spacer 2, and large subunit ribosomal RNA
Rfam family: 5.8S ribosomal RNA (bases 1-120)
Source: RNAcentral
GAUGAAGAACGUAGCGAAAUGCGAUAAGUAAUGUGAAUUGCAGAAUUCCGUGAAUCAUCGAAUCUUUGAACGCACAUUGCGCCCCCUGGCAUUCCGGGGGGCAUGCCUGUCCGAGCGUCAUUUCUGCCCUCCAGCCCGGCUGGGUGUUGGGCGCUGUCCCCCCGGGGACACGCCCCAAAGGCAGUGGCGGCGCCGCGUCGGGUCCUCGAGCGUAUGGGGCUUUGUCACCCGCUCGGGACGGACUCGUCGGCGCUGGUCUUCCUCCAGGCGACCCUUCGGGGCUCGUCUUCCUUCGGUUGACCUCGGAUCAUGUAGGAAUACCCGCUGAACUUAAGCAUAUCAAUAAGCGGAGGA